RNAcentral lists this unclassified non-coding RNA (166 nucleotides) under fungal sp. Its description in RNAcentral is "partial internal transcribed spacer region". The stretch from base 1 to 46 matches the Rfam family "Eukaryotic small subunit ribosomal RNA", at positions 1786 to 1831 of the family's 1831-position model. The record is from RNAcentral. Lineage: Eukaryota; Fungi.
AAGUCGUAACAAGGUUUCCGUAGGUGAACCUGCGGAAGGAUCAUUAACACGUAUCCAACGUUAAAACCCCCCCGUGAACCUUCAGUGUGCUCGUACGCUUUGUUAGAAAGUAGCAAUCCCUGGUAAAUCAACCGAACAACUGUUAACAAUGGAUAUCUUGGUUCUC